GGGCCCUUAGCUCAGUUGGCAGAGCAGCGGACUUUUAAUCCGAAGCGCGUCGGUUCGAGCCCGACAGGGCCCACCA
RNAcentral lists this transfer RNA (76 nucleotides) under Kineosphaera limosa. RNAcentral's name for it is "tRNA-Lys". It matches the Rfam family "tRNA". From Rfam's summary of the family: Transfer RNA (tRNA) molecules are approximately 80 nucleotides in length. Their secondary structure includes four short double-helical elements and three loops (D, anti-codon, and T loops). RNAcentral also lists the same sequence under 1 other name. Lineage: Bacteria; Bacillati; Actinomycetota; Actinomycetes; Micrococcales; Dermatophilaceae. The record is from RNAcentral.